This 504-nucleotide ribosomal RNA is filed under the name uncultured bacterium. RNAcentral describes it as "partial 16S ribosomal RNA". It matches the Rfam family "Bacterial small subunit ribosomal RNA", at positions 29 to 523 of the family's 1533-position model. The record is from RNAcentral.
AACGAACGCUAGCGAUGCGUCUUAAGCAUGCAAGUCGAACGGCAAGCGGUACUUGUACCGCCUAGAGUGGCGAACGGGUGAGUAACACGUGGGUGAUCUACCUUUUAGAUGGGGAUAGCCACCAGAAAUGGUGGAUAAUACCGAAUACGCUAUUAUCUUGUGAGGUAAUAGGAAAGACGCAAUUGUGUCGCUAAAAGAUGAGCCUGCGCAAUAUUAGCUAGUUGGUGGGGUAAAGGCUCACCAAGGCGACGAUAUUUAGCCGGCCUGAGAGGGUGUCCGGCCACAUUGGGACUGAGAUACGGCCCAGACUCCUACGGGAGGCAGCAGCUAAGAAUCUUCCGCAAUGGGCGAAAGCCUGACGGAGCGACAUCGCGUGGAUGAAGAAGGCCGAGAGGUUGUAAAAUCCUUUUAUACAAGAGGAAUAAAACGGGGAGUGGAACGCCCUGUUGAUGACGUUAAUGUAUGAAUAAGCUCCGGCCAAUUACGUGCCAGCAGCCGCAGUAA